RNAcentral lists this ribosomal RNA (1111 nucleotides) under Salmonella enterica subsp. enterica serovar Paratyphi A. Its description in RNAcentral is "bacterial SSU rRNA". It matches the Rfam family "Bacterial small subunit ribosomal RNA", at positions 21 to 1121 of the family's 1533-position model. The record is from RNAcentral. Lineage: Bacteria; Pseudomonadati; Pseudomonadota; Gammaproteobacteria; Enterobacterales; Enterobacteriaceae.
GGCUCAGAUUGAACGCUGGCGGCAGGCCUAACACAUGCAAGUCGAACGGUAACAGGAAGCAGCUUGCUGCUUUGCUGACGAGUGGCGGACGGGGGAGUAAUGUCUGGGAAACUGCCUGAUGGAGGGGGAUAACUACUGGAAACGGUGGCUAAUACCGCAUAACGUCGCAAGACCAAAGAGGGGGACCUUCGGGCCUCUUGCCAUCAGAUGUGCCCAGAUGGGAUUAGCUUGUUGGUGAGGUAACGGCUCACCAAGGCGACGAUCCCUAGCUGGUCUGAGAGGAUGACCAGCCACACUGGAACUGAGACACGGUCCAGACUCCUACGGGAGGCAGCAGUGGGGAAUAUUGCACAAUGGGCGCAAGCCUGAUGCAGCCAUGCCGCGUGUAUGAAGAAGGCCUUCGGGUUGUAAAGUACUUUCAGCGGGGAGGAAGGUGUUGUGGUUAAUAACCGCAGCAAUUGACGUUACCCGCAGAAGAAGCACCGGCUAACUCCGUGCCAGCAGCCGCGGUAAUACGGAGGGUGCAAGCGUUAAUCGGAAUUACUGGGCGUAAAGCGCACGCAGGCGGUCUGUCAAGUCGGAUGUGAAAUCCCCGGGCUCAACCUGGGAACUGCAUUCGAAACUGGCAGGCUUGAGUCUUGUAGAGGGGGGUAGAAUUCCAGGUGUAGCGGUGAAAUGCGUAGAGAUCUGGAGGAAUACCGGUGGCGAAGGCGGCCCCCUGGACAAAGACUGACGCUCAGGUGCGAAAGCGUGGGGAGCAAACAGGAUUAGAUACCCUGGUAGUCCACGCCGUAAACGAUGUCUACUUGGAGGUUGUGCCCUUGAGGCGUGGCUUCCGGAGCUAACGCGUUAAGUAGACCGCCUGGGGAGUACGGCCGCAAGGUUAAAACUCAAAUGAAUUGACGGGGGCCCGCACAAGCGGUGGAGCAUGUGGUUUAAUUCGAUGCAACGCGAAGAACCUUACCUGGUCUUGACAUCCACGGAAGUUUUCAGAGAUGAGAAUGUGCCUUCGGGAACCGUGAGACAGGUGCUGCAUGGCUGUCGUCAGCUCGUGUUGUGAAAUGUUGGGUUAAGUCCCGCAACGAGCGCAACCCUUAUCCUUUGUUGCCAG